UUCCAGGACAGCUCUGUAUGAUCUUCUCACAUCCAGGAAAUGGAGCAAGAGGAAAGCCAAGCAGAAGGCAUUCAUUUCCAGCACCCUCAACACCUUUUCACAGGACCGGGUGUGAAAUACUCCAGCAGAAACUGGAACAUGGAACAGACCAGGACAAGGUCUCCUUUGAAGAUAAAUUCUAUAGGGGGAUCUCUGCGUGUGCAAAGCAAAUACUUCAUCUCAUCCCCAGUAAUCAUGGCUAUCAUCUGCUGCAUUUUCUUCCUUUACUUUUGUUUCCUUGCAAUGAAUAGCCCUUAAUUUCAUCUGGACUCUGGCUCAGCAAGAGUGAGCAUGUAGCCGGAUUCAGACAUGUGCUGAGACACAUCAAGAGCUGCUGGGAAAACAGGAAGAUUCUGAGAGUGUAAAUUUUUCUUGUUCUGAUAGGUCAUCAAGGAAAAUUCGAAAAUCAUUUUAAAAAUUACCAAGACUUUGAGCUAAAUUCUGUAACAUGUUUUCUGCUUAGUCUUGGAUGUCCAUAUUCUUCAAAACCACACUCCAAAAAAGGAGACCUGCUUACAUUCCUCUUGUAUAGAUUGUUACCAGAAGUAACUUAUUUUCUACUGUGUUGCCAAAGACAGCCAUGGGCUGUAAGUCUGUGCUGCAAAAUAACAACCAAAGAAGGCUCUUUAGCACAAUUCUUGUUUUUAGAUUUUGAUUUGAGCUUUGAUUACUUUUGUUCUUUGGUUUUCUUUAGUUUCAUUAGAAGUUUUUUGUUUGUUUGUUUGUUUGUUUCUUUGGUGUUGUUUGGUUUUGUAAUUGAUUUAAUAUUUUG
This 811-nucleotide long non-coding RNA is filed under the name Mus musculus (house mouse). Its description in RNAcentral is "predicted gene, 32857". Lineage: Eukaryota; Metazoa; Chordata; Mammalia; Rodentia; Muridae. The record is from RNAcentral.